Molecule: ribosomal RNA, 498 nt
Filed under: uncultured bacterium
Lineage: Bacteria
Description: partial 16S ribosomal RNA
Rfam family: Bacterial small subunit ribosomal RNA
Source: RNAcentral
GAUGAACGCUAGCGGCAGGCCUAAUACAUGCAAGUCGAGGGAGAAUGUUGGAUUCGUCUGACAUGAAACCGGCGCACGGGUGCGUAACACGUAUGCAACCUACCUUUAACUGGGGUAUAGCUCAGAGAAAUCUGAAUUAAUCCCACAUAAGACUACGACCUGGCAUCAUGACGUCGUUAAAGCCUCGGCGGUUAAGGAUGGGCAUGCGGUACAUUAGCUAGUUGGGGGGGUAAUGGCUCAACAAGGCUACGAUGUAUAGGGGGUCUGAGAGGAUGAACCCCCACACUGGUACUGAGACACGGACCAGACUCCUACGGGAGGCAGCAGUAGGGAAGAUUGGUCAAUGGACGCAAGUCUGAACCAGCCAUGCCGCGUGAAGGAUGAAGGCCCUAUGGGUCGUAAACUUCUUUUAUUAGGGAAGAAAAAACGGGAUGCGUCCUGUACUGACGGUACUUAAUGAAUAAGGAUCGGCUAACUUCGUGCCAGCAGCCGCCGCCG